RNAcentral lists this ribosomal RNA (592 nucleotides) under bacterium W13S19. Its description in RNAcentral is "bacterial SSU rRNA". It matches the Rfam family "Bacterial small subunit ribosomal RNA", at positions 77 to 665 of the family's 1533-position model. The record is from RNAcentral.
GAUUUGUUGGGCGUCGAGCGGCGGACGGGUGAGUAAUGCCUAGGAAAUUGCCUUGAUGUGGGGGAUAACCAUUGGAAACGAUGGCUAAUACCGCAUAAUGCCUACGGGCCAAAGAGGGGGAUCUUCGGACCUCUCGCGUCAAGAUAUGCCUAGGUGGGAUUAGCUAGUUGGUGAGGUAAUGGCUCACCAAGGCGACGAUCCCUAGCUGGUCUGAGAGGAUGAUCAGCCACACUGGAACUGAGACACGGUCCAGACUCCUACGGGAGGCAGCAGUGGGGAAUAUUGCACAAUGGGCGAAAGCCUGAUGCAGCCAUGCCGCGUGUAUGAAGAAGGCCUUCGGGUUGUAAAGUACUUUCAGUUGUGAGGAAGGGGGUGACGUUAAUAGCGUUAUCUCUUGACGUUAGCAACAGAAGAAGCACCGGCUAACUCCGUGCCAGCAGCCGCGGUAAUACGGAGGGUGCGAGCGUUAAUCGGAAUUACUGGGGCGUAAAGCGCAUGCAGGUGGUUCAUUAAGUCAGAUGUGAAAGCCCGGGGCUCAACCUCGGAACUGCAUUUGAAACUGGUGAACUAGAGUGCUGUAGAGGGGGUAGAA